Molecule: long non-coding RNA, 608 nt
Filed under: Elaeis guineensis (African oil palm)
Lineage: Eukaryota; Viridiplantae; Streptophyta; Magnoliopsida; Arecales; Arecaceae
Description: long non-coding RNA (EGUI_LNC075185)
Source: RNAcentral
CAAAUUCAAUUAUCUGAUUAAUGAUUCUGGGUAUUAGAAAGUAUCUCUCUGCUUACGUGCGAACUUCGGGUUGGCACAGAGACAAUAUAAACUGUACUGAUGUCUAGUUUGGGAAAAAAGUCCUAGAUUUAUUUUCUUAUCUCAGUGAAUUAAUAACUGAAGACUGAAACCUGUGAAGCAAGAGUUAGGCAAAUGAAUUGAACUGAGUACUUAUAAACACCAAUUGGACUAAAUUAGAUCAUCAUGCCUGUGAUACACAAAAUAAUAUAUGAUGCUGAUAUUUGAAAUUCACAAGCACAGAAAAAUAAGCAAUACCACCAAUGCUAUGAGCACUUAUGAUUGCUAAUAUCCUUUUCAAACAAAUCUAGCUCCCUAAGCGAUGGUAACAAUGAUAAAAAUAAUAACUGCUCUUUAACAUGUUCGAUGUAUGCUAUAUUUUACAAGCCAGAACUACUUAGACAAACAUGUUCUCAUGUAGCGACCAAGUCAAGAGUUUGGUAACAUCAUGACCCAGAUCUACUUAAACAAAUUAACAAGGCCCUCUGUGACAGUAUUUAAUGUAUGGUCCGUUUUGAGUGACAUAUUAAUUUCAAUGAAUAUGACCUUCU